AUUGAACGCUGGCGGCAUGCUUUACACAUGCAAGUCGAACGGCAGCGCGGGCUUCGGCCUGGCGGCGAGUGGCGAACGGGUGAGUAAUACAUCGGAACGUGCCCAGUAGUGGGGGAUAGCUCGGCGAAAGCCGGAUUAAUACCGCAUACGACCUGAGGGUGAAAGCGGGGGAUCUUCGGUCCUCGCGCUAUUGGAGCGGCCGAUGGCAGAUUAGCUAGUUGGUGGGGUAAAGGCCUACCAAGGCGACGAUCUGUAGCUGGUCUGAGAGGACGACCAGCCACACUGGGACUGAGACACGGCCCAGACUCCUACGGGAGGCAGCAGUGGGGAAUUUUGGACAAUGGGCGAAAGCCUGAUCCAGCAAUGCCGCGUGUGUGAUGAAGGCCUUCGGGUUGUAAAGCACUUUUGGCGGGAACGAAAGGGACUGUGCCAAUACCACGGUUCGAUGACGGUACCCGCAGAAUAAGCACCGGCUAACUACGUG
Molecule: ribosomal RNA, 484 nt
Filed under: uncultured bacterium
Lineage: Bacteria
Description: partial 16S ribosomal RNA
Rfam family: Bacterial small subunit ribosomal RNA
Source: RNAcentral